GCUAUACACCAAACAGUGGACAAAACUGGACAACCAGUUCGGUUACUGGAGAUAUAGCCAGAUUUAGUCCCCAGGGGCUACGUUAGAACGGUCAAGAUACCAGGUUUGGGUGCUUUCCAGCCUACUGCUCUAUCGCUAAGUGUUAAACAGGUGUAUGUGGUUAAACCAGUGCAUUUAGUGUAAAAAGCCGUUCUAACAUUAUCGAGGAAAACAUUAC
Non-coding RNA from Scytonema tolypothrichoides VB-61278, 217 nucleotides. NCBI's taxonomy places the organism in Bacteria, Bacillati, Cyanobacteriota, Cyanophyceae, Nostocales, Scytonemataceae. The record is from Rfam.